GACGAACGCUGGCGGCGUGCCAAUACAUGCAAGUUGAGCGCUGAAGGUUGGUACUUGUACCAACUGGAUGAGCAGCGAACGGGUGAGUAACGCGUGGGGAAUCUGCCUUUGAGCGGGGGACAACAUUUGGAGACGAAUGCUAAUACCGCAUAAAAACUUUAAACACAAGUUUUAAGUUUGAAAGAUGCAAUUGCAUCACUCAAAGAUGAUCCCGCGUAGUAUUAGCUAGUUGGUGAGGUAAAGGCUCACCAAGGCGAUGAUACAUAGCCGACCUGAGAGGGUGGUCGGCCACAUUGGGACUGAGACACGGCCCAAACUCCUACGGGAGGCAGCAGUAGGGAAUCUUCGGCAAUGGACGAAAGUCUGACCGAGCGACGCCGCGUGAGUGAAGAAGGUUUUCGGAUCGUAAAACUCUGUUGGUAGAGAAGAACGUUGGUGAGAGUGGAAAGCUCAUCAAGUGACGGUAACUACCCAGAAAGGGACGGCUAACUACGUG
This 496-nucleotide ribosomal RNA is filed under the name uncultured bacterium. RNAcentral's name for it is "partial 16S ribosomal RNA". It matches the Rfam family "Bacterial small subunit ribosomal RNA", at positions 28 to 507 of the family's 1533-position model. The record is from RNAcentral.